AACACAUACAUUCUAAGUGAUUUCAAUGGGUCUUUCUCCAUUGUGAUUGUUCUAUACUGUUCAAUUAAACUUGAACCGAAAAAGUAUUUCUGCAAUCAUCAAUUUCUGCAUUUUCUGCACUCAUUUGAGAUCCUUUCCGCACUGCUACAUAGGCUGCACGAUAUGGGAAAACAAAUUGAGGCCUUGCUUUUUACCAAAUGUUGCAAUUGCAAUUUCCCCAGAUCAAAACACUGUUUUGGAAUCAUGGAAACAUAAUGAUUAUUAUAAUUCUAUAGUUUGAAUAUAAUAGUGGGCAAUUUGAAUACAAUGUUGUUUGACAUGACAACAAAUGAAAAUGCCAGGCAGGAGUCAGGCUGUAUAGCUAGCUACGUCUGCUCUAACUUAAUACAUUUAUUAGCUAGCUAGCUAGCUAACUAGCAAUUAGCUUUAGCGGCUAACAUGAUUUAGCCAAAACUUGCUAAAGAAACACAAACUAGCUCUUUGCCGAUGUAAGAAACACAACCUAAUAGUGUAAUUAUAGAACCCUUGUGGAUUUAUAUUAAGACGCAAAGUGGAAACAGCAUCGUUGUCAUCAACAUUGUUGCAGGUGUUGCAUUGACUAUGCAGACUGAACGCAAGUGUCUUGUGGUCGAGCAACAACAAAUGCGCUCCUUGAGUGACAGGUUGCGGGGCUGUGUGGAAAGCGGCAUGGAGAGAGAGAGAGACGAAAGAGAUGACUCAAGUAGCAGAGUAAAUGAUAAAAAUGGGUGUUACGCACGGCAUAUCACAUUUAACGAACCAAACAUUCAAAUACUGUUGUAGAAGGUAAAGUAAAAACCCAAACCGGUCCGUGCAUCAAUACCGGUAUAUAGUUAAAUAUGGUAUACGGCCCAGCCCUAAGCUAAGGUAGGUAAAACAACCAUAUAUCAUUGCAAGUAACACUUUCCUCGAAAAAGGUAGAGGUUUUCAUCCAAUUGGUGACAGAUUGUCAUGGGAAUAUUCAAAAAUAUGCAUAAAGAAAAUCUGCAUAUUUUACCACCACUGGUGUUUCCACUAAACUGACGUUGCAGAUACAAAUCAGUGCGUGAUGACGUUAGUGCACACAAAACAUACGUUUUCGCUUAAGUUGUCAUGUACCGAAUACAAAUCUAAAGUUCAAUGUGUUUCCUUCGCGUUUCAACUCUACCGAUAGUUUUUGUCACAAAAACUGUUGGUUAAAUAAUGUGUGUGCGUAAGGAGAGCGUGUGGCAAUAAGCAGAAUUGCAAAGUUGCAAGAGGCAAGACAUCCAAGUGUGUGGUGUGUGUGUGUUUGUGUGUGUGAGGGCACCUGCAGAGAAUGCAAGCUUGCAGAAGUCCUGGAAGAAGGCUUUCAAGGCCAACAGACACUGCAGGGUGGAGUUCAUGUACAGUAGCAGCUGUUGCUGAGGUUUGGUCGCCUGGGACGGAGAGACGGAUCAAGGGAGCGUGAUUUCUCUGUGUCCUUGAGAGGUUUUACUUACAGCGUGUGUGUGAUGUCACACUGCUUACCUCAGGCAGACGAGCUGCUGGCGGGUGAGGUUGGGGCUGGAGCCGAGGUGAGGGUCUCUCUCCCUCGGUCUGCUCCACUUGUGCCUGGACACUGGGGCAGUGUCACCCCAUGAUGACCUCUAGUCAUUGCCCUGAGGAAACUGAUACAUUCACAAACACAGGAAGGGGCCGUGAU
Long non-coding RNA from Oncorhynchus tshawytscha (Chinook salmon), 1681 nucleotides. The record is from Ensembl. Lineage: Eukaryota; Metazoa; Chordata; Actinopteri; Salmoniformes; Salmonidae.